CAGGGUGUAGCGCAGCCUGGUAGCGCACCUGUUUUGGGAACAGGAAGUCAUAGGUUCGAAUCCUGUCACCCUGA
This 74-nucleotide transfer RNA is filed under the name Trebouxiophyceae sp. MX-AZ01. RNAcentral's name for it is "tRNA-Pro". It matches the Rfam family "tRNA". From Rfam's summary of the family: Transfer RNA (tRNA) molecules are approximately 80 nucleotides in length. Their secondary structure includes four short double-helical elements and three loops (D, anti-codon, and T loops). Lineage: Eukaryota; Viridiplantae; Chlorophyta; Trebouxiophyceae. The record is from RNAcentral.